GAGUUUGAUCAUGGCUCAGGAUGAACGCUGGCGGCGUGCUUAACACAUGCAAGUCGAACGGAGAGCUGAUGACAGAGGAUUCGUCCAAUGGAUUUAGUUUCUUAGUGGCGGACGGGUGAGUAACGCGUGAGGAACCUGCCCUGGAGUGGGGAAUAACAGUUAGAAAUGACUGCUAAUACCGCAUGAUGCAGUUGAGUCGCAUGGCUCUGACUGCCAAAGAUUUAUCGCUCUGGGAUGGACUCGCGUCUGAUUAGCUAGUAGGCGGGUAAC
This 270-nucleotide ribosomal RNA is filed under the name uncultured bacterium. Its description in RNAcentral is "partial 16S ribosomal RNA". It matches the Rfam family "Bacterial small subunit ribosomal RNA", at positions 9 to 261 of the family's 1533-position model. The record is from RNAcentral.